RNAcentral lists this ribosomal RNA (253 nucleotides) under uncultured bacterium. RNAcentral describes it as "partial 16S ribosomal RNA". It matches the Rfam family "Bacterial small subunit ribosomal RNA", at positions 524 to 776 of the family's 1533-position model. The record is from RNAcentral.
UACGUAGGGUGCAAGCGUUAAUCGGAAUUACUGGGCGUAAAGCGUGCGCAGGCGGUGAUGUAAGACAGAUGUGAAAUCCCCGGGCUCAACCUGGGAACUGCAUUUGUGACUGCAUCGCUGGAGUGCGGCAGAGGGGGAUGGAAUUCCGCGUGUAGCAGUGAAAUGCGUAGAUAUGCGGAGGAACACCGAUGGCGAAGGCAAUCCCCUGGGCCUGCACUGACGCUGAGGAGCGAAAGCGUAGGUAGCAAACAGG